GUGAGCGCCCAACCCCCUUUUCUUUUUCCCCCCCCCCCCCCACCACCACCAAUUUUUCUUGUCCCAUUUGAAAGAAGACCAACAAAAAAAUCCUCUUUUUAAUCUUCCCGUCAUGAGCACCACCACCCACGCUGCAGCUUCGGUUCCGCAGAGCAUCCCUGCAGCCUCGCUGUCUCCUCCUUCUGUCCCCUUGGAGCCACUGACUCCUCCCUGCUACACCAGUUCCGCUCUCGC
This 234-nucleotide non-coding RNA is filed under the name uncultured Mamiellales. The record is from RNAcentral. Lineage: Eukaryota; Viridiplantae; Chlorophyta; Mamiellophyceae; Mamiellales.